RNAcentral lists this ribosomal RNA (508 nucleotides) under uncultured bacterium. Its description in RNAcentral is "partial 16S ribosomal RNA". It matches the Rfam family "Bacterial small subunit ribosomal RNA", at positions 28 to 507 of the family's 1533-position model. The record is from RNAcentral.
GACGAACGCUGGCGGCGUGCCUAAUACAUGCAAGUCGAACGCUUCUUUCCUCCUGAGUGCUUGCUCUCAUUUGGAACGAGGAGUGGAGGACGGGUGAGUAACACGUGGGUAACCUACUAAUCAGAGGGGGAUAACACUAGGAAACAGGUGCUAAUACCGCAUAACAGUUUAUGCCGCAUGGCAUAAGAGUGAAAGGCGCUUUCGGGCGUAGCUGCUGGUUGGACCCGCGGUGGAUUAGCUAGUCGGUGAGGUAACGGCUCACCAAGGGAACGAUGCAUAGCCGACCGGAGAGGGUGAUCGGCCACACUGGGACUGAGACACGGCCCAGACUCCUACGGAAGGCAGCAGUAGGGAAUCUUCGGCAAUGGACGAAAGUCUGACCGAGCAACGCCGCGUGAGUGAAGAAGGUUUUCGGAUCGUAAAACUCUGUUGUUAGAGAAGAACAAGGACGUUAGUAACUGAACGUCCCCUGACGGUAUCUAACCAGAAGGCCACGGCUAACUACGUG